This is a ribosomal RNA of 556 nucleotides. It matches the Rfam family "Bacterial small subunit ribosomal RNA", at positions 14 to 553 of the family's 1533-position model.
UGAUCAUGGCUCAGGACGAACGCUGCCGGCGUGCCUAAUACAUGCAAGUCGAGCGGACAGAAGGGAGCUUGCUCCCGGAAGUCAGCGGCGGACGGGUGAGUAACACGUAGGUAACCUGCCCCUUAGACUGGGAUAACUCCGGGAAACCGGAGCUAAUACGGGAUAAUAAAGAGAAUCACCUGAUUCUCUUUUGAAAGACGGUUUCGGCUGUCACUAAGGGAUGGGCCUGCGGCGCAUUAGCUAGUUGGUAAGGUAACGGCUUACCAAGGCGACGAUGCGUAGCCGACCUGAGAGGGUGAUCGGCCACACUGGGACUGAGACACGGCCCAGACUCCUACGGGAGGCAGCAGUAGGGAAUCUUCCGCAAUGGACGAAAGUCUGACGGAGCAACGCCGCGUGAGUGAGGAAGGCCUUCGGGUCGUAAAGCUCUGUUGUGAGGGAAGAACAAGUACCGGCGUAACUACCGGUACCUUGACGGUACCUCACCAGAAAGCCACGGCUAACUACGUGCCAGCAGCCGCGGUAAUACGUAGGUGGCAAGCGUUGUCCGGAAUUA